AGAUAAGAUAUCUUAGAGCCGUGGAAGACCACCACGUUGAUAGGCCGGGUGUGGAAGUGCGGUAACGCAUGAAGCUAACCGGUCCUAAUUGCUCUAUUCGCGCUUGAGA
RNAcentral lists this ribosomal RNA (109 nucleotides) under Sphingomonas bacterium. Its description in RNAcentral is "partial 23S ribosomal RNA". It matches the Rfam family "Bacterial large subunit ribosomal RNA", at positions 2815 to 2925 of the family's 2925-position model. Lineage: Bacteria; Pseudomonadati; Pseudomonadota; Alphaproteobacteria; Sphingomonadales; Sphingomonadaceae. The record is from RNAcentral.